This 539-nucleotide ribosomal RNA is filed under the name Bifidobacterium pseudocatenulatum. RNAcentral's name for it is "bacterial SSU rRNA". It matches the Rfam family "Bacterial small subunit ribosomal RNA", at positions 161 to 711 of the family's 1533-position model. The record is from RNAcentral. Lineage: Bacteria; Bacillati; Actinomycetota; Actinomycetes; Bifidobacteriales; Bifidobacteriaceae.
UGGUAAUGCCGGAUGCUCCGACUCCUCGCAUGGGGUGUCGGGAAAGAUUCAUCGGUAUGGGAUGGGGUCGCGUCCUAUCAGGUAGUCGGCGGGGUAACGGCCCACCGAGCCUACGACGGGUAGCCGGCCUGAGAGGGCGACCGGCCACAUUGGGACUGAGAUACGGCCCAGACUCCUACGGGAGGCAGCAGUGGGGAAUAUUGCACAAUGGGCGCAAGCCUGAUGCAGCGACGCCGCGUGCGGGAUGACGGCCUUCGGGUUGUAAACCGCUUUUGAUCGGGAGCAAGCCUUCGGGUGAGUGUACCUUUCGAAUAAGCACCGGCUAACUACGUGCCAGCAGCCGCGGUAAUACGUAGGGUGCAAGCGUUAUCCGGAAUUAUUGGGCGUAAAGGGCUCGUAGGCGGUUCGUCGCGUCCGGUGUGAAAGUCCAUCGCUUAACGGUGGAUCUGCGCCGGGUACGGGCGGGCUGGAGUGCGGUAGGGGAGACUGGAAUUCCCGGUGUAACGGUGGAAUGUGUAGAUAUCGGAAAAAAAACACCA